GAGUUUGAUCCUGCUCAGAUGAACCCUGCCGGCGUGCCUAAUACAUGCGACGAGCGAUCAGAUGAGAAGCUUCUUCUCUUGAUGUUAUCGCGGACGGGUGAGUAAAGUGAUUAACCUACCUAUAACCUGGGAUAACUCCGGGAAACCGGGUAAUAACUGAUAAUAUUUUGACGCAUGGUUCAAUAGUAAAGACGGCUCGGCGUCACUAUAAUGGUGCGCCGUUUAGCUAGGGUAAGGUCACGCUUACAAGCACAUGCGUACCGACCUGAGAGGGUGAUCGCCCGCUGGAACUGAGGCCGGUCCAGCUCCUCGGGAGGCACAGUAGGGAAUCUUCCGCAAUGGCGAAAGCCUGGCGACAACGCGCGUGAGUGAUGAAGGUUUUCGGAUCGUAAAACUCUGUUGUUAGGGAAGAACAAAUUUGUUAGUAACUGAACAAGUCUUGUCGGUACCUAGCAGAGAGCACGGCUAGGGGUCAAAAA
RNAcentral lists this ribosomal RNA (479 nucleotides) under uncultured Staphylococcus sp. Its description in RNAcentral is "bacterial SSU rRNA". It matches the Rfam family "Bacterial small subunit ribosomal RNA", at positions 9 to 514 of the family's 1533-position model. The record is from RNAcentral. Lineage: Bacteria; Bacillati; Bacillota; Bacilli; Caryophanales; Staphylococcaceae.